AAGUCGUAACAAGGUUUCCGUAGGUGAACCUGCGGAAGGAUCAUUAACACGUAUCCACGUAUCAACCAAUGAGAACCUGUUUUCCCGUCUCCCUGUGCAAAGAAUGAAUUGGAACCAGUUUGAGGGAGUGAUGGGACCGAAAGGUCGGCCUUCCUGGUAUACUUAUGUAAAUAGAAAUAUUUGCAUAGACAAUUGAAUUUUUGUUGCAGGCUAUUUCUUAUCGCUUUGAUCCCCAUCAUGAUCGUGGCGGUAGGGAAACUUUCACUAAAUUUACCUUUUUUGCUAGUUGACUUUUUAUAUGUGUUAUUUUGCGAAAGCAUGGUGGCACACGUUUAUUAAUUGAACGUUAAAAAAUACAACUCUUAGCAAUGGAUAUCUCGGUUCUC
This 386-nucleotide unclassified non-coding RNA is filed under the name fungal sp. Its description in RNAcentral is "partial internal transcribed spacer region". The stretch from base 1 to 46 matches the Rfam family "Eukaryotic small subunit ribosomal RNA", at positions 1786 to 1831 of the family's 1831-position model. The record is from RNAcentral. Lineage: Eukaryota; Fungi.